AGCGAACGCUGGCGGCAGGCUUAACACAUGCAAGUCGAGCGGGCCCUUCGGGGUCAGCGGCGGACGGGGGAGUAACGCGGGGGAACGUGCCUUCUGGUCUGGAAUAACCCUGGGAAACUAGGGCUAAUACCGGAUACGCCCCUUUGGGGAAAGGUUUACUGCCGGAAGAUCAGCCCGCGUCUGAUUCGCUAGUUGGUGGGGUAACGGCCUACCAAGGCGACGAUCAGUAGCGGGUCUGAGAGGAUGAUCAGCCACACUGGGACUGAGACACGGCCCAGACUCCUACGGGAGGCAGCAGUGGGGGAUAUUGGACAAUGGGCGCAAGCCUGAUCCAGCCAUGCCGCGUGAGUGAUGAAGGCCUUAGGGUUGUAAAGCUCUUUUAUCCGGGACGAUAAUGACGGUACCGGAGGAAUAAGCCCCGGCUAACUUCGUG
RNAcentral lists this ribosomal RNA (433 nucleotides) under uncultured bacterium. RNAcentral's name for it is "partial 16S ribosomal RNA". It matches the Rfam family "Bacterial small subunit ribosomal RNA", at positions 29 to 507 of the family's 1533-position model. The record is from RNAcentral.